RNAcentral lists this unclassified non-coding RNA (378 nucleotides) under uncultured Chlamydiales bacterium. RNAcentral describes it as "contains 16S-23S intergenic spacer region". The record is from RNAcentral. Lineage: Bacteria; Pseudomonadati; Chlamydiota; Chlamydiia; Chlamydiales.
UCCGAGUUAACCUAGGCAGUCUCAUUAGAGUUCCCAUCUUUCUUGUUGGCAACUAAUGAUAAGGGUUGCGCUCGUUGCGGGACUUAACCCAACACCUCACGGCACGAGCUGGCGACAGCCAUGCAGCACCUAUAUAGAUGUUCUUGCGAAACAUUACAUCUCUGUAACUUGCAUCUACAUUUCGAGCCCAGGUAAGGUUCUUCGCGUAGCAUCGAAUUAAACCACAUGCUCCACUGCUUGUGCGGGCCCCCGUCAAUUCUUUUGAGUUUCACCCUUGCGAGCGUACUCCUCAGGCGGUGUAUUUAUCGCGUUAGCUACGAUACAACUAGGGUUGAGCCUAAGUUACAUCAAAUAUACAUCGUUUACGGCAAGGACUAC